Molecule: long non-coding RNA, 789 nt
Organism: Scatophagus argus
Lineage: Eukaryota; Metazoa; Chordata; Actinopteri; Scatophagidae
Exons: 2
Source: RefSeq, a predicted model, not a curated record
GGCUUCUGUCCGGACAUCAGGAGCACCAAGAAAGUGUGCAAGGCUGUGAUGAAGGAGCUUCAGAAGAAGUUCUGCAGUAGGCGAAUGCUGGAGACUCUAAUAUUAUUGGAGGAUCCAGUUGUGGAAGCAGAGAUUGUCCGAUGUUUACAAGCUCACAUCAAAGACCUGUCUGCUCGCCUUGCAGAGAAAGCUGCAAACUCCGGAAAGGGGUGGAGGGACAUGCUCAAGGUCAUGGCCAUCACUGCAGGUUUUCUGGCCACCUUGGUUUUAUUGCUCCUCAUCCCAUAAAGAAGCACAAAGAGUAUAGCUUCAGUUGAAAGGUUUAUGACCUGCAAAGAACUCAUUAAACAGUCACUAAACCAUCGGUCCUGGCUGACUUCUGUCGAUAAAAACUAAGGACUGUGAGGAAUGUUCUCAACGCUACACUCACACUCUCAUCUGCUCGACUCAAUGAUGCUUCCCUGAGGACCUUUCUGUAUGAGGCAACGGCGAUUGUGAACAGUCACCCUCAUACAACAGAGAAUCUGAACGAUCCAAACAGUUUGGAACCACUCACUCCGAAUCACCUCAUCGCCAUGAAGGAUACCACUGCUCUACCUCCCCCUGGAAGGUUUGUUAGGGAGGACUGGUGUGGACAAAAAAGAUGGCGUCAAGUACAGUUCCUGGCAGAGCAGUUUUGGAGCCGCUGGAGGAAGGAGUAUCUCCACAGCAUCGUGGUCAGACAAAUAUAACAAAUAAGCAGUACUGAAUGUUGAAAAUAAAAUAAAAUAAAAUAUAAGGUGCAGUGAA